RNAcentral lists this ribosomal RNA (996 nucleotides) under Lactiplantibacillus plantarum. RNAcentral describes it as "bacterial SSU rRNA". It matches the Rfam family "Bacterial small subunit ribosomal RNA", at positions 1 to 948 of the family's 1533-position model. The record is from RNAcentral. Lineage: Bacteria; Bacillati; Bacillota; Bacilli; Lactobacillales; Lactobacillaceae.
GGUUACCCAGGGGCCCUUACAAUGCAAGGUCGGAACGAACUCUGGUAUUGAUUGGUGCUUGCAUCAUGAUUUACAUUUGAGUGAGUGGCGAACUGGUGAGUAACACGUGGGAAACCUGCCCAGAAGCGGGGGAUAACACCUGGAAACAGAUGCUAAUACCGCAUAACAACUUGGACCGCAUGGUCCGAGCUUGAAAGAUGGCUUCGGCUAUCACUUUUGGAUGGUCCCGCGGCGUAUUAGCUAGAUGGUGGGGUAACGGCUCACCAUGGCAAUGAUACGUAGCCGACCUGAGAGGGUAAUCGGCCACAUUGGGACUGAGACACGGCCCAAACUCCUACGGGAGGCAGCAGUAGGGAAUCUUCCACAAUGGACGAAAGUCUGAUGGAGCAACGCCGCGUGAGUGAAGAAGGGUUUCGGCUCGUAAAACUCUGUUGUUAAAGAAGAACAUAUCUGAGAGUAACUGUUCAGGUAUUGACGGUAUUUAACCAGAAAGCCACGGCUAACUACGUGCCAGCAGCCGCGGUAAUACGUAGGUGGCAAGCGUUGUCCGGAUUUAUUGGGGCGUAAAGCGAGCGCAGGCGGUUUUUUAAGUCUGAUGUGAAAGCCUUCGGCUCAACCGAAGAAGUGCAUCGGAAACUGGGAAACUUUGAGUGCAGAAGAGGACAGUGGAACUCCAUGUGUAGCGGUGAAAAUGCGUAGAUAUAUGGGAAGAACACCAGUGGCGAAGGGCGGCUGUCUGGUCUGUAACUGACGCUGAGGCUCGAAAGGUAUGGGGUAGCAAACAGGAUUAGAAUACCCCUGGGUAGUCCCAUACCCGGUAAAACGAUGAAUGCCUAAGUGGUUGGGAAGGGGUUUUCCAGCCCCCUUCAGGGCCUGGCGCCUAAACGCCAAUUAAGCAUUUCCCGCCCUGGGGGGAAGUACCGGCCCGCAAGGGCUUGGAACCUUCAAAAGGAAAUUGGAACGGGGGGGCCCCGCCGCACCAAAAACCGCGGCUGA